GACGAACGCUGGCGGCGUGCUUAACACAUGCAAGUCGAACGGUGAAGCGAGUGCUUGCACUCGUGGAUCAGUGGCGAACGGGUGAGUAACACGUGAGUAACCUGCCCAUCACUCUGGGAUAAGCACUGGAAACGGUGUCUAAUACUGGAUACGACCAACCCUUGCAUGGGGUGUUGGUGGAAAGAUUUAUCGGUGAUGGAUGGACUCGCGGCCUAUCAGCUUGUUGGCGGGGUAAUGGCCCACCAAGGCGACGACGGGUAGCCGGCCUGAGGGGGGGACCGGCCACACUGGGACUGGGACACGGCCCAGACUCCUACGGGAGGCAGCAGUGGGGAAUAUUGCACAAUGGGCGAAAGCCUGAUGCAGCGACGCCGCGUGAGGGAUGACGGCCUUCGGGUUGUAAACCUCUUUCAGCAGGGAAGAAGCGAAAGUGACGGUACCUGCAGAAGAAGCACCGGCUAACUACGUG
This 469-nucleotide ribosomal RNA is filed under the name uncultured bacterium. RNAcentral describes it as "partial 16S ribosomal RNA". It matches the Rfam family "Bacterial small subunit ribosomal RNA", at positions 28 to 507 of the family's 1533-position model. The record is from RNAcentral.